GUUGACCUCGGAUCAGGUAGGGAUACCCGCUGAACUUAAGCAUAUCAAUAAGCGGAGGAAAAGAAACCAACAGGGAUUGCCUCAGUAACGGCGAGUGAAGCGGCAAUAGCUCAAAUUUGAAAGCUGGCGUCUUCGACGUCCGCGUUGUAAUUUGUAGAGGAUGCUUCGGCAAGGACUCCUGCCUAAGUCCCCUGGAACGGGGCGUCACAGAGGGUGAGAAUCCCGUAUGUGGCGGGCGGUCCGAGCCAUGUGAAGCUCCUUCGACGAGUCGAGUUGUUUGGGAAUGCAGCUCUAAAUGGGAGGUAAAUUUCUUCUAAAGCUAAAUAUUGGCCAGAGACCGAUAGCGCACAAGUAGAGUGAUCGAAAGAUGAAAAGCACUUUGGAAAGAGAGUUAAAAAGUACGUGAAAUUGUUGAAAGGGAAGCGCUUGCAACCAGACUCGCUCGCAGUUGCUCAGCCGGCCUCUUGGCCGGUGUACUCUUCUGCGAUCGGGCCAGCAUCGGUUCGGGCGGCCGGAUAAAGGUGUCGGGAAUGUAGCACCCUUCGGGGUGUGUUAUAGCCCGGCGCGGAAUGCGGCCAGCCUGGACCGAGGAUCUCGCUUCGGCAAGGAUGCUGGCGUAAUGGUUGUAAGCGGCCCGUCU
RNAcentral lists this ribosomal RNA (640 nucleotides) under Guignardia sp. MUCC0441. RNAcentral describes it as "eukaryotic LSU rRNA". It matches the Rfam family "Eukaryotic large subunit ribosomal RNA", at positions 1 to 654 of the family's 3401-position model. The record is from RNAcentral. Lineage: Eukaryota; Fungi; Ascomycota; Dothideomycetes; Botryosphaeriales; Phyllostictaceae.